AUGUAUGUGAACAUAUACUUACAUAUGUAUGUAAUAAAUAACUUCACAAUCUCACUAUGAAGUAAGUUUUAUUAAAUAGGAUACGUUUUAAGCAUCAAGGUGAAGGACUUCAGAGAGUAAGCUCUGAAUAAUUAUUUUCCUGUCAUCAUCACCAGCAGCAGCAGCAGCAGCAGCAACAAAAACCAUUGUCACAGAGGUGGAAACUGGCUGAAGGACUUGCUCAGUGGUGUGGCUGAAAACCAUUCAUCACACUAUCCAAACCAGAAAUCCUGGAAUGAUUUGGCUCACCUAUGCCGUUUCAAUGCUUCUCUCUACAGUGGCAUAUUCAAAUGAUCUCAACAGAUGCACAGGACUUUCCAUUAGUGUCCACCUCAACCAUGUGGAUGAUCCAUCAAUUCUAUUUUCUAAUUAUGUACAUGCAAUGACAUUCAUUUCUAUGGUAAGUGUCUCUAAGUGUAGAAUUUCUUCUGUCUAGUUCAGUACCCUCAUCUCAUGUUACCAAAAAAUUUAAAUUUGAAGUGUUUUGACUGACAAGUGAAAAUUGAGUUCAGUACAGCCUUCUCUUUAAAGAAAAUUAGUCAUAUAUUUCUUCUUGGCCAGGUAAUUUAAAAACCUGGAAUCAUCAUCAUCAUCAAAAACAGUAACAAUGGUAUAACCAAAAUGUAUACAAAAUUACAUAAUUACAUUCAGUCAUAUUUUAUAUCGGACCUCAAGGCAAUUAGAAUCAUAUCUAUUAAUUUCUUGAUAAAGAUCUGCUUAAUCAGUGUAUUCAUUUGUGCAUUCUGGGAUAUAAUAGACUCAAAAUCAGUUACUAUAAUUUCAAACCACAUCGUGUACUUCCUCUCAAAGACACAGUCACAUUUCCUAUCUCUACCAGUAGAUGAAAAUUCAUUCAUAUCUCAAUGUAAAUGAACUGGUUAUUCAUGUUAACUAGAAGCAUGAACAAAAUAGGAGUCCACCUUUUCAAAUAAAAAAAUCUUUUUGAAAAUGAUAAUUUUCAACCAUUAAAAUAGUUUUUUUCUUGCA
Herpailurus yagouaroundi (jaguarundi) is the source of this 1026-nucleotide long non-coding RNA. RefSeq lists it as uncharacterized. NCBI's taxonomy places the organism in Eukaryota, Metazoa, Chordata, Mammalia, Carnivora, Felidae. The transcript is spliced from 2 exons. The record is from RefSeq and is a predicted model, not a curated record.